RNAcentral lists this ribosomal RNA (405 nucleotides) under uncultured bacterium. RNAcentral's name for it is "partial 16S ribosomal RNA". It matches the Rfam family "Bacterial small subunit ribosomal RNA", at positions 30 to 526 of the family's 1533-position model. The record is from RNAcentral.
AUUGAACGCUAGCGGGAUGCUUUACACAUGCAAGUCGAACGAGUGGCGGACGGGUGAGUAAUAUAUCGGAACGUGCCCAGUCGCGGGGGAUAACUACUCGAAAGAGUGGCUACUACCGCAUACUAUUGGAUCGGCCGAUAUGGGAGUAGCUAGUGGGUGGGGUAAAGGCCCACCAAGGCAACGAUCCGUAGCUGGUUUGAGAGGACGACCAGCCACACUGGGACUGAGACACGGUCCAGACUCCUACGGGAGGCAGCAGUGGGGAAUAUUGGACAAUGGGGGAAACCCUGAUCCAGCCAUCCCGCGUGUAUGAGAAGGCCUUCGGGUUGUAAAGUACUUUCAGCGGGGAGGCGUUACCCGCAGAAGAAGCACCGGCUAACUCCGUGCCAGCAGCCGCGGUAAUAC